GACGAACGCUGGCGGCGUGCUUAACACAUGCAAGUCGAGCGGUAAGGCCCUUUCGGGGGUACACGAGCGGCGAACGGGUGAGUAACACAUGGGUGACCUGCCCUCAGCUCUGGGAUAAGCCUGGGAAACCGGGUCUAAUACCGGAUAUGACUCCAUGACGCAUGUUGUGGGGUGGAAAGCCUUGUGCGGCUGAGGAUGGGCCCGCGGCCUAUCAGCUUGUUGGUGGGGNGAUGGCCUACCAAGGCGACGACGGGUAGCCGGCCUGAGAGGGCGACCGGCCACACUGGGACUGAGACACGGCCCAGACUCCUACGGGAGGCAGCAGUGGGGAAUCUUGCGCAAGUGGGCGAAAGCCCGACGCAGCGACGCCGCGUGAGGG
Molecule: ribosomal RNA, 379 nt
Filed under: uncultured bacterium
Lineage: Bacteria
Description: bacterial SSU rRNA
Rfam family: Bacterial small subunit ribosomal RNA
Source: RNAcentral